This 1112-nucleotide long non-coding RNA is filed under the name Zonotrichia albicollis (white-throated sparrow). RNAcentral's name for it is "lncRNA (ENSZALG00000001731.1)". The record is from RNAcentral. Lineage: Eukaryota; Metazoa; Chordata; Aves; Passeriformes; Passerellidae.
CCCCUGUCCUGCCGUGGUUCAGGUGUCCCCAUGGGCUCGUGUGUCACCCGUGGGACCGAGUGUCACCUGUGGGACCAGGUGCCACCUAUGGACUUCUGUGUCACCUUUAGGAGCGAGUGUCACCCGUGGCCUCACGCGUCACCAGUGGGACACGUCCCCUGUGUCCUCAUGUGUCACCCACAGCUUCGCGUGUCACCUCCUGGUCCUCUGUGGGGCCGCUGCCACCCCCAUGUCCCCUCCGUGCUGACGUCACCCCGUGGCUUCCUGUGUCACCUGUGCCACCCACGGUGUCACACCCACUGUCCCCUGUGGUCACAGCGGGCUCCAGUGCCACCCCUGGGCUGGGGGGUUCCCAGUGUCCCCAAUGUCCCCAAUGGUGUCCCCAAUGGUGUCCCCAAUGGUGUCCCCAAUGUCCCCAAUGGUGUCCCCCUGUCACCCUGUGGUGGCGCUGCCGGAGCCACAAAGCCACAACUGGGACACAGCCCUGGGGCAGGAAACGCGCGGGGCCCAGUACGGGACUGGGGAGAUCCCAGUAUGGACCAGUAUGGGACUGGGGAGAUCCCAGUAUGGACCAGUAUGGAACUGGGGAGAUCCCAGUAUGGAACUGGGGAGAUCCCAGUAUGGGACUGGGGAGAUCCCAGUAUGGACCAGUACAGGACUGGGGAGAUCCCAGUAUGGGAUUGGGGAGAUCCCAGUAUGGCCCAGUAUGGAACUGGGGAGAUCCCAAUAUGGCCCAGUAUGGGACUAGAGAGCUCCCAGUAUGGAACUGGGGAGAUCCCAGUAUGGGACCGAGGAGCUCCCAGUAUGGCCCAGUAUGGAACUGGAGAGCUCCCAGUACAGCACUGGUGAGAUCCCAGUAUGGCCCCGGCCUGGCACUGACACUUGUGCAAGACCCUUGCACAGCUGCACACGCAUGUGACACACCCGGACAUGCGUGUCACACAUGUCACACGUGUGACCCCCCCCAGACACGCGUGACAACCCCGGACACGUGUGUCAACCCCGCCACCAGCGUGUCACCCCCAGACGUGUGACACCCCACUCACAUGUCACCCCCGGGGCAUGUGUGACACCCCACGGACACGUGUGACACCCUACACACGUGUGACACC